This is a long non-coding RNA of Limulus polyphemus (Atlantic horseshoe crab), 8755 nucleotides long. RefSeq lists it as uncharacterized. The record is from RefSeq and is a predicted model, not a curated record. NCBI's taxonomy places the organism in Eukaryota, Metazoa, Arthropoda, Merostomata, Xiphosura, Limulidae. The transcript has 6 exons.
GUUAAAUGAUUUAUAUUAGCUUUUUUUAUGCUGACACUAUGAUCACUGAGCAGAGUUUAUCACUGUGUUCAGCCAUAACUCUUUUAAGUGUUUACUUUGCUCCAGAGACAGUCCCUCUCUAAAGCCCAGGAGUGCGUGCAAGUGUAUGCUAAAUAUAAUGUCUAAUAAGAUGAAGUAAAUACUGUAUAUUUAGUUAAAACAGAAGUGGUGGUAUGAUUCUGUAACUUCAGACACUGCUUCUUUUAUUUUAUUUUAUAGUUCCUUUAAAUUAUCUUGUCAUCCCUGAAAUCUUCUGUGUUAAAUGAUAUCUGUUUGAUAGCUACAGAAGUAUUUUUAAUUAGAAGACAUCAAAGAAGAUCAGUUAGGUUUAGUGAGUAGGGUAGGCAACAACAAAACAUUCUUUUAUAUAUAUGGUUGAAUAUAUAUUUAUUCAGUUCAAACAAAUUGCAUAAAUAAGUUGGCUAACUUGCUUCUUAAUUAUUUGUAAUUGUAAUAUGUUUAAAUGAAAAUAUUAUCAUUUUCAGUGAUGGAAAAAUAUGGUGUUAUUAUCUGAUUAUCAAAUUAUUUGAUUUAUAUGUGACGAAUGGAGGAUUACUGUAUAUCUUAAGAACAAAAUGGCGACUUCAUGGUUGGCUCGACAUUAGAAAAUUAAUAAGUACCAAAAGUUUUAACCAAAAUAAUUUUUGAUUGACAAUUUUUUGCAUUUAGUAUUUUCUUUCAUGUAAAAUGAGUAAACAGAUGUCUUAUAAUAAACAAGUAGUUGGAAAAAUUACUCAAAAGAUUGAAAUAUUAAUGUAGUGUGAGAGUAAUAUAUUAGUUGAAUGUAAUAGAUUAGCAAGUUCCAUUAAUUGUCUAGAUUUAAAAUUAUUAUACAAAGUGAAUUACUGAGCUGAUAAAGAUGGAUUUAUAAAUGAAUACAGGUUUGUGGUUAAAACUACACUAAGAUGCUUCAUUAUUCAUUCAUUUGAAAGGUAGUUGAAUAAUAACCAAUGAAAUGAAGUGAGAUAGUAACAGAACAGCUAAUUUGUAAACUAUGGUUUCAUUUUGAAAACCUGCUUAAGUUAAUUUAAAACACUUCAUUUUUAACUUUGGUAAUUUUGGUUUAAGUAUAUUUUUAGGGGGCUAAUAUCCAAGAAAUGUUUUUAAUAAAAAAAAAUUAUGCUUAAUAGUAUAUGAACAUAUGACUGCUAAUGUGUAGGAGAACUGCUGGUUUGAAGCCUUCUUGAUUUUAAUAUUUACUACAAAAAUUUUGUUUUUGCCUUAAUCUAUGGAAUAAUGUAUUAAGUAUGGUCCAAAAAUUGUACUUCAUUGCUAUUUAUUAAAAAAAAUGUUCCAAUAAAGUUUCAUAAGUAUGUUAAUUUGCUUACUAUAAAUCAUUGUGCCAUUGCUAUUGCUACCCACACAAACUAGCUAAUGAAGUCCAAGAUGAUAAAGAACAACAGUUUUAACUCUUGUUGCUGUGACAUGAGUUUGAACAAAAUUACUAGUGACACUUUCCAGCAUCUGAUAUGUUUUAUGGUCUGAUUUACCACUUUUUUUACAAUAAUCUUUAUCUGUACAAGUUUUGCAAACAUUUGUUAUAUACAUUAUUUUGUCCGAGAUGGCUUAUCUUCAAAUUGAUUUUAUUUUGAUAACGUUAUUUGUAGGUAGCUUUUGAAUCUGGCUUUUGUAUUGCUUAGCUCUUUUUCAUGGUUCCCUCAGGUCAGGGAAACCAGGAAAAGCAUGUAUAUAUACAUAAUUUUGCUCUUCUGGGGCUUAGAAAAACCGUUGAAUUUCAUUUCAGUAAUGCACAACUGGAAAAAAGAAUACCAUGUUUCAAACUUUUAUUGGAAUUUCACCAGCACUCAUCAAAUCUUUAAUUGGCUGCACUUGAAUUGGAAACAUGGUCCUCAGUUAAUACCUGGAAAUACAAGGCAUAACUGGUUCACCAGUGUUUUUGAAAUCAUCCAUGUAAAUGUUGCAAAGAAAAGAUCAUAGAGGAUUUCUUUAGUAUAAUUCCUGGUGUGGUGGUAUAAGAAGAAAAAAAGAUUUCAGGACAAAAUUAUGAAAAAAAUAGUGAACACAGUCCUCUCCCGUUCUUCAUUGGCAUGGAGUACCAAAUGCACUUGGCAUGCAAGAGAAAGUAUGAGGAAUCAAAGGAGUCAAGUCCUGUAAAAACCAGAGUAUCCAGUUCAGAAAUUAAGCAGAAAGAACAGACAGAUUUGUGUAUCUUUUGUGAUGUAGCUGGUUCUACUGGCCUUCAUGAGGCAUCAACAGUCGAUAUUGAUUUUUAAGUAUGGAAGUGUGCAAAAGAACUCAAUGACACAAAUUAUUGGCAAAACUUGCAGAUGGUGAUAGGGUGGCAAUCGAUGCCCAAUACAACACAUUAUGUUUCGCUAAGCUAUACAAAUGUGCACAACAGAUAGGCAGACAUACAGCACCUAAUUCAAGUGAAAGUUCUCUACAUGGUAUAGCCUUUGCUGAGCUAGUUUCACACAUUGAAAAAUUUUGAGAUUCAACAAAAGCAAAAGUGGUAUUCAGUAUGGCAGAUCUAAGGAGACUAUACUCUUCAAGGUUACAGGAACUUGGUGUCCAGGCAGUACAGGUGCACACCACAAGGGUAAAGAAUUGAAUAUCGGCAGCAAUUCCAGACUUAAGAGCCCACAAUGAAGGCAGAAAGGUCCUACAAGCAAUUUGAUCAAGGCAUUGGAGCAGCAUUUUUGCAGGAUUUUGAUUCUGAAAUGUUAAUGCUAGCAAUAGCAGCAAAGAUUAUCCGUCAAGAUGUACAGUUGACUCCCCCCAUUCACAUCCUAGUUAUGUUCUUAAGAAGUGUAUUGUUAUUGGAAAUGACAUUAUUGGGGGUCCAAUUCUCCAUUGUUAUAGUGGUAUAAGUUGUAGUUUUGUUCCAGCAGCAUUAUUUAGUAUAGUAAAUAUGACAAAAGGCAAAUUAUACAACAAAGUAUAAUACAAUAAUAACAAUUAAAGAAUAUGUACCAUAGUACAAUAUUGAAAAGUUGAGCUGGCAGUGGUUUAUUGGGGAGAAGGUGGAACUGGAUCAUCUACUUCCUCUUCUUCUUAAAAAACUGAGUUAUUUGUGUCUUGCCUGCUUCUUUUUCUCUCUAUAAAAUUCCUGGUAGCCUGAUAGAGCUGCCUCAACUUGCCUCCUUAAGGUAUUGCUCUGCUUGCAGUUAGGGUCAUUCUUGGCCCAGAUUGCAAAACCAUUAAUUUUGCAAAAAGCCUAUGACAUGUUCUUGCAUGUCAACUCAACAACUUGUUUUACCUCCUCUGGUUGCUUGUCUUCUGCUGCAUCUUCCAUAAAUUGUUGCUGAUCUAAUUCUUUUAAGUCUUCAUUGGACAGACCUUGUCCAUGCUAUUGAAGCAACUCCUCUACGUCUUCAUCUUCCACUCCCUCCAGUCCUGAAUUAUGGGCAAGUUUGACAAUUUCUUCAUGGACUGCUGGUAUUUCUUCUUUGAAAUCCUCAAAGUCAUAAAAGCAUUCUGGCCAUUUCUUCCUCCAGGCAUGGUCAAUGUUGUUAAUUCCUUCAUGAUACUAUAUGAAUGCCAGAAAUCCCUGUUUGCAAGGUUCUCAUUAGUAGAUAUCUCAUAAAAUAGCUGAUGAAAGAUACAAUGUAGAUAAUACACCUUAAACUUUGCUAUGACCCCUGAUCCAUUGGCUGAAUGAGCGAUAUUGUGUUUGGAGGCAAAAACUGGUUCUGGACCGGAAUGCAAGUUGCCAAAUUGUCCAAAUGAGAAAGGUGACCCAGAGCAUUAUCUAGGAGAAGGCCAUUUUCCUAGUUUUUUUUUCAAUGCAGUGUUUCUCCACUGCUGGGCAAAAGUAGGAGACUAACCAAUCUUGAAAAGCAUCAGUUGUCACCUGAAUUUUGCAAUUGGAACACCAAAAAACUGGUAGGUGUGGCUUUGAGAAUCCUUUCUUAGCUUGUUGUGUUUCUGAAUGUACACCAGCAUUGGUUUCAGUUUGAAGUCUCCUGCUGCAUUACCAUCAAGUUACAGGGUAAGCCAAUCUUUUGUGGCCUUAAGUUCUGGAGCAAUCUUCUCCUCCCCAGAAAUAAACAUACAGGAUGGCAUCCAUUUCCAAAAUAGCCCCGUUUCAUCUGUAUUGAAAAAUAAUUCAGGGGAUAUCUGUCACUUUCUGUGAUCUCCUUUAACUUAUCUGGAAAUUCCAAAGCAGCUUGGUGAUUGGCACUAGCAGCCUUGCCUGUUAUUUUGAUGUUAUGUAGAUUUUUUUUUGCCUAAAAUAGCCAAAUCAACCUUUAUUAAAGUAAAAAUCCCUGCUGUUGAGCUUUCACCUUUCUUCUCACGCAAUUCCUCAUACAAUUUAAUUGUGUAUUGAUUUUAAUGUUGUUUAUUUAUUAUUUAAACAAUAAACCUAUUUCAAUUUAGUGUCAUUCAAAUUUGUAUAGCAUACUAAGUAAAUACUGAAGAUAAAAAGAAAUUAAAAUAUACAUUUGUGGUAAUCAGACAGAAAAUAAAUUUUGCCACAUUUGAAAAAAAACAAUUCUUACCUACAUUUCUCAUUUAUAUUUAGUGUUUUAACAGAUUCUACUGAUGGUUUUACAUAGGCUUGAUGGUUUCACAUGAAAAAAUAUAUACUACUGUAAAAUGUAGUCUUUGCUUAUUAGAUCAUCAGAAGCUUGUAUAAAUAUGUUUUUGAUGAAUCCCAUUUUCAGAAAAUGCCUGCUAUCACAUUAGAAUCCAUGUCUUACCAUAGCAACCAACCAUUAACAACAAAUUUAGUACAAAAAUGCCAUCCAUAAGUUAAAAUAAACUGCCUGCGAUAAAACUUCAUAUAAUAGUCACCAUUUGCAUUAUUCAGUGUUGGCUAUCCAUUGAACACAUAUCUUGCCAUUUUCUCAACUUUAUGCAAGAAAAUGUCACUUGUGUACAUUCACAGUAUAUUACAGUUUGUCUGUCUCAUGAUUUUAUGCCCCCAUAAACAAUAGAUUAUUAGUUACCAGUAGAGAGGGUUUCCUUUGAAGUGAUACCAUGAAUUGCAUCAGAUUGCCACUGAUUUGCCUGAAUGUGAACAAAGUCUUGAAUUAUUGUGCUGAUGUGAUAUCAUUGAUAUUUAGUGUGUGAGUUUCCAUUACUGAUGCACCAGCUGAAGGUUCGUGAGGGUCAUUGAUAAAUCCAACAAUAUAUAUUACAUACAGGGGAUAAUUUUGUUAUAGUUUAAUUUUUAUUGUUUAAGAAUUGUUUUAAAAUAUUAAAAGUUUGAUUCAGAUUAUAAUCGUUAUUCAAUUUCUGGUUUUACAGGACAUAACAGAAAUGAAUUUUUAACAGAAGCUGUAUCCAGAAUGAACAACAAAAUUAAAAGAUUGGUUUACAUAAUAUUCAACAUGGAAAAAAAAUUGUAUACUCUUUUUUAUCAUAAAUUCACUGUAAAUUGCAGUAUACUAUUUUUUUUACACAGUUUUUCAGAAGUUGCUCCUAGUUUGACCCCAUCUCUCUCUUUCCCCCUCAGGCUAACUCUGAAUUAGGUUCUACAUUUGUUUUUGAACAUAAUUCUUCUCCAAUAGCCAAUGCUCUUUUCUUUCCUCUGCAGCAAACCACAGCUUCUCAUCCUGUGAUGGAGUUGCUUUGUUCUCUGACAUCUCCAUCAGUAACUCGUCCUUUGGUCAGUACCUCAGUUUUUGCCUUAUCACAACUGUUGUAUUUUCUAAUAAGAUAUUCAUAUGCAGGUGAGUUUUCUGGAAAUGGCAAUGAGAAUGAAAAUAUUACAUGAAAUUUUAUGGUUACUUUCAUAAUAAUGUUUCUUUUGCUGGUUUCAAUAAGUAGUAUGGUUUUUUAUGCCCCCAUUGGGAAGUAUCGCAUGGCAGGACAUAUUGGUAUGAGUCUGUCCGCCCGUCCUAAUCUUGUGAACCUAUUAUACCUUAUGAUUAGAUGGAUGGAUUUUGACAAAAUUAUACAAGAGAUAUUAAAUACAAAGUUCUAUACCCAAUUAACUUUUAAAGAUACUGGUACAUAGAAAUCUUCCCCAAUCUUAUGGACAUGAUAUUUCAAUAGAGGUUGAAUGGAUAUUGACUAAACUUACACAACGGGCACUGCAUACAAUGUUGUAGAUCUUAUUAAUUUUUGAAGGCCAUGUGUCAAGCGAUUACUGAUACAUAGAAAAUCCACCCUAAUCUUAUGGACAGGAACUACAUUAUGAAAUUGGGAGUGGGGACCUAAACAUACAGUACAUUAGUGGGGGCGUAGGUGUUUCAUAAACACAAUUCACACUUGUUAUUAGUUGGUGUUCGAAUUUAGCGACAGAUGCACCUUAUUUCAAUAGGGAAUGAGCAUUUUAUUACUCACGUUGCAGUGUUUGUUCAGUUAAUCAUAACCGCAAUACCCAAGUAUUUUAUCUGUCUACAGUGAAAGCAUUAAUGUUGCAGUGCAUACAAAAUUCAAACGUUAGGAUCCAAUUUCUUUGCAAUAAAAAAAGCCAUUAAAUAAAAUGGAAACAUUUGCACUGAGAUUAAUUAUUAGUUUUAUUUUGUAGCAUUAGUAAUAUAUAUAGAUUAUUCGUACAAGAAAUCAAACAUCACAGUUGUUGAAGUUCAACAUAUAAAUUGACUUUACUAACAUUUGUUAAAUCUUACUUCAUCACUUAGUUUCUUGUGAAUCAGUGGGAAUAAAAUGAUCUAAACCCUAAAGUAUGCCAAAAUGAAAAAAUACAUGCUGCAGAGGUGUUCACUGUAUGGGGAGCCUUAAAAUGACUUUGAACACCCAGAGGCAAAGUGAACAAUUAGCAUCAUAACACUGAAAAAAAUUAGCAUGAAUUAUCCCACUCAAAAAUAAUUUUUGAGUUUGCAUAGUAUGUAUAUACGUAUUCAAGUUUAGGAAAACGAAUUACACAUUCAAACAUCUUUUGUAAUGUUAAUUUUGAACCAUUCUUUCAUUGAACGUUAUUAGAACAUCUCGUAACACUAAAGCGAGGGUUUUGAUGAUACUUUCGACUGGACAUCAUCCAGCUCAGGAAGAGCAAAGUGUCUUCUUCACUUUAGGACUGGUGGGACACAGGCAGAUGAACUUUCUGCUCUUUGCCAAGCAAAUUAGGUAAGGUUAUUGAUACCAUAUGAUGGAUCAGUAGGUACAGGAUAACUAACAACAACCAGUAGGAGCUGUAUCUGCAGCUCCAGAAAACUAAUAAAGCCUAAGACUGGCCUGGCCACUGGCUUGGAGGAGUACAGUGGACUGUUUGCACCAAGGUGUUCAGUGGUGUGCCCAGCUUUUUCAGAGCUGGGUGGAGCUUGUUACUUACUUUGUUGGGAUACAAGAGUGAGAGUUUGAAUUACACAGUAACAGUCAGAAUACUGCUAAACCUCACAAUAUAUAUCAAGCUAUCCAAGUAAGACCAUUAUUCCAGCCAGUUAUACUGACCUUGUUCUUGCAAUAGACUAUAUAUUAUAUGAAAAGUAAAUAUUUGACUUUAUCUAGGAAAUGUCACUCACAAAAUGAUGAUAGUUGUCUCAGAUCUGGUAUUGGUAUCCUCAUAAUGGAGUACUGCUAGAAUUAACGAUCACUUUCAUGUGCAAUAGACGAGUUGAUAUUUCAGAGGAAAGUUUUAUGAUGCAGGUCAUUUGACUGCACAAAUGUAUAUAACAGAGGGAAUAACCACCUCCAUAUACACUGGUGGUAUUCUAUGGUUUAUUACUGGUGAAAUCUAGUGCAUCAUUACCAUGGUUAAAGAAGCAUCACAUGAAAUAUACUUUCCUGUCCAGAAAGAGAGCAUUAACAGUCUAAAUGUGGGUAGGUUAAGGUGAGCAUGUCACGAUUUUUUACAGGGUUACAUUCAAAAUGAAAUUAAAAUGCAUUAUUAUUAAUGUACAAGAAUAAACUCGGCAUCAAAACAUAGUUACUAAAUCAAAUUUUAAUAUUACACAAAUUUUAAGUUCUUAAUUUUAUAGUGAAAUGUCUAAAAUCCUCAAUCUCCCUUAGUAUAAGAAUCGUGACAGUUGUUCUCUAGGUCAUCUCUAAUUUUUAUACCUCCCCUCUCUGAAGUACAGAACUUAACAUAAAUUACUCAUUAUAAUAUUGAAAGUACCAAGACAAAGUGUAAUUUUUGUAGCCCUCAAUCUUAUAUGUUCAUGGAGUUUUAAACUGGAAAAAUCAGAUCCACUUGCCAUGCCACCUAUCACAUUCUUUCUUUCACAAACUGCCAAAAGUUCUCCUACUUGGUAACUGUUCAAGCUAAUUGAAAGAUGUAUAUAGUUAAAUUUCUCUGUUGUAAACUUUGUUUCAGCAACAAAGUACAGAUACAUGUAUGUAAUCAAAUUGCGUGAUCCUAACGAAAUGCAUGACAUCUUAAGGGGGGUGUUUGAUGUAGGAGGUGAGAAAGUGAGCUACAAUUGUCAUACUUUGCUUAUAGAAGAAAUUAUAGCUAUCUGACUGGUAAUAAGAGGUGGGUGAACAGAAUAGUACUAAAACUGCUUAAUUUUUUUAUUUUGUGAAGUAUUUAGAAAGGAUUAGCAACUGAUAAAACUCAAUUCAAGUCAAUAUAAGUUCAAAGUGGUCACACCCACUUUGAAGUUGCACUGUGUUAAAAAACCAUUCCUGUGCAUUUCUACCUUGUUUCCUUACUUUUUUGGUGCUCCCAUUCCUACUUCCUAAUUUUUUUUUCACUUAAAAAGUUUUACGUUUGACUCAUAGCUUCUUUUGGUACUAAAUCUUGAGAGUGACUGGGUUCUAGGCUUACCCUUCUUGUAGCUUUUGUUAGAACUAUAUCUCGACAUUUCCUGGCUUUUGCUUAUAUUUUUGCUAAAGUUUUCUUCCA